RNAcentral lists this ribosomal RNA (428 nucleotides) under uncultured bacterium. Its description in RNAcentral is "partial 16S ribosomal RNA". It matches the Rfam family "Bacterial small subunit ribosomal RNA", at positions 354 to 796 of the family's 1533-position model. The record is from RNAcentral.
GUAGGGAAUAUUGCGCAAUGGACGAAAGUCUGACGCAGCGACGCCGCGUGAGUGAUGAAGGCCUUAGGGUCGUAAAGCUCUGUUGAAUGGGAAGAAAAAAAUGACGGUACCAUUCGAGGAAGGACCGGCUAACUUCGUGCCAGCAGCCGCGGUAAUACGAGGGGUCCUAGCGUUGUUCGGAAUCAUUGGGCGUAAAGGGUGUGUAGGUGGCCAUGUAAGUCAGGUGUGAAAGCCCCGGGCUCAACCCGGGAAGUGCACUUGAUACUGCGUGGCUUGAGUACCGAAGAGGGUAGUGGAAUUCCAGGUGUAGUGGUGAAAUACGUAGAUAUCUGGAGGAACACCGGUGGCGAAGGCGGCUACCUGGUCGAGUACUGACACUGAGAUACGAAAGCAUGGGGAUCAAACAGGAUUAGAUACCCCAGUAGUCC